RNAcentral lists this ribosomal RNA (253 nucleotides) under uncultured bacterium. RNAcentral's name for it is "partial 16S ribosomal RNA". It matches the Rfam family "Bacterial small subunit ribosomal RNA", at positions 524 to 776 of the family's 1533-position model. The record is from RNAcentral.
CACGUAGGGCGCAAGCGUUGUCCGGAAUUAUUGGGCGUAAAGAGCUCGUAGGCGGUCUGUUGCGUCCGCUGUGAAAACUCGGGGCUUAACCCCGAGCCUGCAGUGGAUACGGGCAGACUAGAGGUAGGUAGGGGAGAAUGGAAUACCCGGUGUAGCGGUGAAAUGCGCAGAUAUCGGGAGGAACACCGGUGGCGAAGGCGGUUCUCUGGGCCUUACCUGACGCUGAGGAGCGAAAGCGUGGGGAGCGAACAGG